GAAAAUGAAAUAUAAGAGCUUCUAACUCUAAAAAUUGCUAAUAAGUAACAUUUUUU
This 56-nucleotide transfer RNA is filed under the name Leucolepas longa. RNAcentral's name for it is "tRNA-Ser". The record is from RNAcentral. Lineage: Eukaryota; Metazoa; Arthropoda; Thecostraca; Neolepadidae.